GUGAAUCAUCAAAUCUUUGAACGCAAAUUGCACUCUCUGGCAUCCCGAAGAGUAUGCCUGUUUGAGGGUUGUUCUAAUAAAAUCGUCGUUUUAAAAAACGGUUCUGAGUUUUCCAAGGUUUGAUGAUUCUGGUAACUUUAAAUUCAUCUUAACGAUAUUUUCGGUUUGAUAUUGGAAUUGGUUAUAUUUUUAUUAUUUUUAAGUUUC
RNAcentral lists this unclassified non-coding RNA (207 nucleotides) under Acaulospora sp. RNAcentral's name for it is "partial contains 5.8S ribosomal RNA and internal transcribed spacer 2". The stretch from base 1 to 71 matches the Rfam family "5.8S ribosomal RNA", at positions 84 to 154 of the family's 154-position model. Lineage: Eukaryota; Fungi; Glomeromycota; Glomeromycetes; Diversisporales; Acaulosporaceae. The record is from RNAcentral.